Molecule: ribosomal RNA, 490 nt
Filed under: uncultured bacterium
Lineage: Bacteria
Description: partial 16S ribosomal RNA
Rfam family: Bacterial small subunit ribosomal RNA
Source: RNAcentral
AUUGAACGCUGGCGGCAGGCCUAACACAUGCCAGUCGAACGGUAACAGGAAGAAGCUUGCUUCUUUGCUGACGAGUGGCGGACGGGUGAGUAAUGUCUGGGAAACUGCCUGAUGGAGGGGGGUAACUACUGGAAACGGUAGCUAAUACCGCAUAACGUCGCAAGGCCAAAGAGGGGGAGCUUUUGGCCUCUUGCCAUCGGAUGUGCCCAGAUGGGAUUAGCUAGUAGGUGGGGUAACGGCUCACCUAGGCGACGAUCCCUAGCUGGUCUGAGAGGAUGACCAGCCACACUGGAACUGAGACACGGUCCAGACUCCUACGGGAGGCAGCAGUGGGGAAUAUUGCACAAUGGGCGCAAGCCUGAUGCAGCCAUGCCGCGUGUAUGAAGAAGGCCUUCGGGUUGUAAAGUACUUUCAGCGGGGAGGAAGGGAGUAAAGUCAAUACCUUUGCUCAUUGACGUUACCCGCAGAAGAAGCACCGGCUAACUCCGUG